GGAAGUAAAAGUCGUAACAAGGUUUCCGUAGGUGAACCUGCGGAAGGAUCAUUACUGAUUUAGCGAACCGAGCAUUAGCGAGGUUUUGCGAUCAACUUGUAUUUAAAACCCACUCUUUAAUGUAUAAAAUUUGUAUUAGUGAUAAAUUAAAAGAUCACUUUCAACAACGGAUCUCUUGGCUCUCGCAUCGAUGAAGAACGUAGCGAAGUGCGAUAAGUAAUGUGAAUUGCAGUAUUCCGUGAAUCAUCGAAUCUUUGAACGCAUAUUGCACUUUCUGGUAUUCCGGAAAGUAUGCCUGUUUGAGGGUCAGUUAAAUAAAAAUCGGUGUUGUUGCUGCCUUUCGUGGUGACGCGUCGGAAUUGAGUUGUCUUACCUUCGGUUAAGUGACUUAAAAUUUUGUAUGAUUUUUGAACGUAUUUAAAUUUAUUUGUACGUUUGAGAUAUCGAAUAUUUAUUAGGUUCGGUCAUUCUAACGACUCGCGCCUAUAAUUUUCCAUUAAAUGACCUCAAAUCAGGUAAGAAUACCCGCUGAACUUAAGCAUAUCAAUAAGCGGAGGA
RNAcentral lists this ribosomal RNA (558 nucleotides) under uncultured Glomus. RNAcentral describes it as "eukaryotic LSU rRNA". The stretch from base 156 to 309 matches the Rfam family "5.8S ribosomal RNA". Lineage: Eukaryota; Fungi; Glomeromycota; Glomeromycetes; Glomerales; Glomeraceae. The record is from RNAcentral.